RNAcentral lists this long non-coding RNA (3998 nucleotides) under Homo sapiens (human). RNAcentral describes it as "HSALNT0324632". The record is from RNAcentral. Lineage: Eukaryota; Metazoa; Chordata; Mammalia; Primates; Hominidae.
GCUAGAGGAGGAAGAGGGGCUGCUGGAGAGAGAGAGCGCGCCAGGUUCAGGUCCAGGGAGGAGAGAGAGCGAGCGCGCGAGGCGGAGACCUGGAGGGAGAGGAGCUGCGGAGAGGGGUUAGGCGGGGAGGGAGAGAGAGAACCAGGUUCCGGUCCAGGGAGGAGAGAGACAGCGCGCGCGAGGCGGAGACCUGGAGGAGAGGAGCUGCGGAGAGGGGUUAGGCGGGGAGAGAGAGAGAGCGAGCCAGGUUCAGGUCCAGGGAGGAGAGAGACAGCGCGCGCGAGGCGGAGACCUGGAGGGAGAGGAGCUGCGGAGAGGGGUUAGGCGGGGAGGGAGAGAGAGAACCAGGUUCAGGUCCAGGGAGGAGAGAGACAGCGCGCGCGAGGCGGAGACCUGGAGGGAGAGGAGCUGCGGAGAGGGGUUAGGCGGCGGGAGGCCCGGGAGCGUUACAUGUGUGUGGACUCGGGGAGGGCGGCGGGGGGCCGCUCCUCGGGGCCGUCUGCCUGCAGGAAGGAGUCCACGGACUUGCUGCUGAGGCGGAAGGGCAUCAGGCGGCAGAAGGUGCCGGGAGAGUAGGGAAUCUGCGUGCGGGCCCUCUGCGAGGGGACCACCGUCUCCCCGGGAGACAGCCAGGGCGGCAGCCUGGCCAGGAGGCUGCGGUCCAGGGCCUCGUCCGGAGAAAACACAGGGUUGUCAAUUCCUAGGAGAGAGGGCAGCGGCUAGUCAGCCUUCGGAGAGCCCCACGGCGGCAGGGGAGACCUCGCCGGGGCCGUCACCUGCUGGGUGCCUUGGAAAGUUAGGGUCACGUGCCUUUCAGGUUGCGGGCCCUUCCCCCACAUCCAUGACCCCACACGCCACAGGCAGCACAGGUAACGUCUCGCUUCCCUCAAGACAUACCCCACCUGCUCCCUGCCCGGCCCACGUCUCCCCGGACAGCAGCCUCCGAGUUGGUUGAGGGGGCACUCAGUGGGUGCCAAGCAGGGCCCUUGAGAACCCACAGGAGACCCCACCCCCCCAGGUCCCAGUGCCCCUGGUCCAAUGACCGAGCUCCCUCCUGGGGCGGCAGGAGCCACCCCUCCCUUAGCCACGACGCCUGUGCCCCGUCCCCACCUGCAGGGGAGUCGGACGCUGUGUCCUUGGUGACACUAGCCAGGAACUCGAUCCCCCCACUCAUCUCCUCAUCAUAGUUGGGGGGCUCCUCGGUGUCUGAAAGUUCCAAGUCUGGGGAAGACAGGUUGGGGUGAGGACUGGGGUCACUGGGGGGCUGUCCUCACAGCCCAGUCAGCAGUGUCCAUCAGCUCUGUGCACAGAGGUGCAGGCAGUCGGGACCCACAGAGAGGAGGGCUAAACCGCAGGGCUGGAGGAGGGACCCCACUUAGAGGGCAGUGUCCCUGGAACCCCAUCCUGGGUGGGUCUGCAGCUGGGGCCCUGACCAUGCCUCCCCUGCCUGGGUGGCUGGAGGGUCCCCAGAGGGGAAGGUCCUGAGAGGGGAGGUUCCCGAGCCGGGAGGGCUGGGGCUGGGAGGUGGUGGCUCCCAGUCCCAGCGUUCCUGCAGGGCCCCCAGCGCACCUUUCUCCUUGAUGGUGAAAUUCUGCGCAGGGCUCUCCAUGGGCAGCUUCCCAUUGGGGAUGCUGCUGUUUCUCUGCGGAGCAAACGUGAAGCUGCUCACACCCCGACACAGCCACACCCAGCCCUGACUGCCCCCGCUCCAGGCCCCAGCCCCGCCAAGCCUCCUGGUGACCCAGCCUUACCCGCUUCUGGGCACGCUCCCGCUUGUACAGCUUGGCCGCCUUCUUGUUCUGGUUGAGCCCCAGCUUGGUCGACUUGAAGGACUCCAGGCGCUUCCGCAUGGUCCUGUGGAAGAUUUCCCGGUCCUGUUUCUCGUCCUCCGUGGGCGUGAGCUCGUGUCGGCUGUACAGAUGCUUGUACUGCGGGAUCAGGCACGGAGGUCACAGCUGUGCCCACCGCCGGACAUUCUCGCCCUCCUGCCGCAGGAGCUGAGCACGGAUCCCCCGUGGUCCCAGGAGGGGACGAGGAAGCCGCCCCACGGGGUCCCUGCGGGGUCCUCCAGCCCCCAGCCCGCAGUGCCCACCUCCUGCCGCGGCUUGUACAGGUACUGCUGUAGCGUGUGGUGCGUGACCAUGUCCUCCGCGUCCCGGAUGCUCCGCCGUCGCUGCUCCAGAGACUGCAUGUCCAGGCAGACAGCGCUGACAUUUUCUCUCCUGCGUGGGGACCAGCGCUGAGCCAUACAGGCUCCCUCAGGGUGGGGUCUCUUGCGCGCCCCUCGCCUUCCCACGGCGGGCAUCUGGCCCUGGCUGCCUCCUGCGUGCCCCUCGCCUUCCCAUGGUGGGCACCCGGCUGGGGCACGGGGACAUCUGCCAUCUGGCCAGCCCCUUCUCCCCUCGGGGCUUAGGCUGACUCCCCACGAGGCCUUCCUGGCCUCCUGUCUGAAGUGGGUCCCUUUCCUUACUGGUCCCUCUCCAAAGCCCUGGCUGUAAGACUCGGGGACCCCAGCAUCUGCACAUCUGGCAGAGUGGACCUCCUAUGAGAACUGGCUGUGAGCUGUGGAGCCCAGGGCCGGAGGAGCAGUAAGGGUGGCAUGGGGACCAGGACAGGCUGCUGCGGGCCAGGGGCAAACACGUCAGGCCUGGCCCCCAGUCCGCUGCUGCCCCUCCCUUUCACCUUCCAUCCAGCACUAAGGGAGUCUGGCCACGGCCUAAUAUAGGAGGGCUUGUGGAAGGAGACACCCACCCCCUCUUUCUGCACCUCUCCCCUCUUCCAUGCCACCCCCAGGCCAGGAGCCACCACAGCCCUGUCUGUGACUCUCAGCUCCCGAGGCUGGGCUCUUCCCCAGGGAAGCUGCAUGACCAUGGCCACAUACAGGAGGUAGGAGACAGAGGCCUCCACGGUGGACGAUCGUGGCGUGAAGUCCACGUUGACCACGUUGUCGGUGCUGGGGGAGCGGAUGAAGGCCAGGGACCCGCGGCGCUCUCCCUGUGGUCAGGAAGCAGCCCGGAGACCCUAAAACUCCAUUGGCCUCAUGUCCAGAACUGAAUCAGGUUCAGCUCGUGGAAGACAUUCAGGAUCCGGUCUCGAGACUUCUGGGCCGACCGUCUCAUGAGGACCCUGCUGAGGAACUUCCUGUCGAAGUGGGACCACCUUGACCCUGUAGGCGCGUUUAAAAUGAGGGAAGCAGCCCCUGCCACACGCCCAGGCCGUCCGCCGUUCUCCCGCCUGUCCUGUUGGAUGGAGGCCGUUAGACGCAUAUGAAACUGCAUGCCGCCUCCUCCAGAGGGUGGCUCAGGACACGCCUAACGGAAUUAGAGUAUUCGCUGGUUAUCCAGAUCAGAAGGGACGGUGGCCUGGCCGGACUUAGAGGAAACUCUGGGGCACAAGGAGGUGAUGCCUGUCACUUGGACAUGGGUGCAGCCGCCAGAGCCGCCCUCCAGGGCACAGGGUGGGCCCGGGUGAGCUUGUGUGCUCACACCUGGGCAGGCCCCGCGGCAGCAAUGGCAGCUCUCCUGUACAGGCUGAGUUUCAGCCACACCAAGAAGUCAAAGCUAACCGAGGCUGUGCCUUCCGAGACCCCCGGGAUGGCCCCUGGGAGGCCAAGGAGUCGGGGACUGGGUACCCGGAGCAGAGUCACUGUGGCCACGGAGAACCGCAGCUGAGCUUUAUGAAGCCACGUGGCCACACCUCCCGGUGCCUCCACCCCAAGCAAACACAGAUCGCUCAGAAAAUGGGAACCCAGGGCAAAUUGUAUGUGCUCCUUACUGGGUUUAUUAUAAGUGUCACAUGUUUUUUAUAAUAAAACAUAGGUGAUUUCACCUUAAUGGACAAACUCUUUUUUUUAUUUUGGGACGAAGUCUCGCUCUGUCACCAGGCUGGAAUGUAAUGGCGCAAUCUCGGCUCACCGCAGCCUCCACCUCCCGGGUUCAAGCGAUUCUUGUGCCUUAGCCUCCUGAGUAGCUGGGAUUACAGGCCCACGCCACCACCCC